UAUGAGUGGCGAACGGGUGAGUAACACGUGAGUAACCUGCCUCUUCUUUGGAUAACGCCCGGAAACGGGUGCUAAUACUGGAUAUUCACUGGCCUUCGCAUGGGGGUUGGUGGAAAGGUUUGUUCUGGUGGGGGAUGGGCUCGCGGCCUAUCAGCUUGUUGGUGGGGUGAUGGCCUACCAAGGCUUUGACGGGUAGCCGGCCUGAGAGGGUGACCGGUCACAUUGGGACUGAGAUACGGCCCAG
This 244-nucleotide ribosomal RNA is filed under the name uncultured bacterium. RNAcentral's name for it is "partial 16S ribosomal RNA". It matches the Rfam family "Bacterial small subunit ribosomal RNA", at positions 90 to 334 of the family's 1533-position model. The record is from RNAcentral.